AAACCAGCCAAUUAAUCUACUUAUCUGAAUGUUUCUGCAGAAAUUUUUUAAAAAGCUGGCAAUAGUGAUGCCAUUUUAUGAACCUUAAGGACAAGUUAGGUCAUUAUAGUCUCUGAGAAUGGCUACAACA
Molecule: small nucleolar RNA, 130 nt
Organism: Jaculus jaculus (lesser Egyptian jerboa)
Lineage: Eukaryota; Metazoa; Chordata; Mammalia; Rodentia; Dipodidae
Source: Ensembl